AUACGGAGGGUGCGAGCGUUAAUCGGAAUCACUGGGCGUAAAGCGCGCGCAGGCGGCUAUUUAAGUUGGAUGUGGAAGCCUACGGCUCAACCGUAGAACUGCAUCCAAAACUAUUUAGCUAGAGUGUGGGAGAGGAAGAUGGAAUUAGUUGUGUAGGGGUAAAAUCCGUAGAGAUAACUAGGAAUACCAAAAGCGAAGGCAAUCUUCUGGAACACUACUGACGCUGAGGCGCGAAAGCGUGGGGAGCAAACGGGAUUAGAUACCCUUGUAGUCC
RNAcentral lists this ribosomal RNA (274 nucleotides) under uncultured bacterium. RNAcentral's name for it is "partial 16S ribosomal RNA". It matches the Rfam family "Bacterial small subunit ribosomal RNA", at positions 523 to 796 of the family's 1533-position model. The record is from RNAcentral.